Molecule: transfer RNA, 91 nt
Filed under: Martinezella dioscoreae
Lineage: Bacteria; Pseudomonadati; Pseudomonadota; Alphaproteobacteria; Hyphomicrobiales; Rhizobiaceae
Description: Rhizobium dioscoreae tRNA-Gly
Source: RNAcentral
CCGGCGGUAUGGGGAGUUUCCUCGAGCCCGCGAGCGCCUUCCGAGCUUUCGGAAGGGUCAGCAGAUCCGGUGAGAUGCCGGAGCCGACGGU